This 31-nucleotide ribosomal RNA is filed under the name Tricholoma matsutake. RNAcentral describes it as "partial 18S ribosomal RNA". The record is from RNAcentral. Lineage: Eukaryota; Fungi; Basidiomycota; Agaricomycetes; Agaricales; Tricholomataceae.
AUGAUGAAUAAAGCUUGGUUAGGUUGUCGCU